Molecule: ribosomal RNA, 513 nt
Filed under: uncultured prokaryote
Description: bacterial SSU rRNA
Rfam family: Bacterial small subunit ribosomal RNA
Source: RNAcentral
CUUAUGCAAACUCAAAGGAAUUGACGGCCUGCCUCCAAAUGGAUAGGCGUUUACGGCUGUGACGAAUAGUGAGUGACGGUAUGGGUAAAGAAGCACCGGGCUAACUACGGUGCCAGGCAACCGCGGUGAUACGUAGGGUGCGAGCGUUGUCCGGAUUUAUUGGGCGUAAAGGGCUCGUAGGUGGUUGAUCGCGUCGGAAGUGUAAUCUUGGGGCUUAACCCUGAGCGUGCUUUCGAUACGGGUUGACUUGAGGAAGGUAGGGGAGAAUGGAAUUCCUGGUGGAGCGGUGGAAUGCGCAGAUAUCAGGAGGAACACCAGUGGCGAAGGCGGUUCUCUGGGCCUUUCCUGACGCUGAGGAGCGAAAGCGUGGGGAGCGAACAGGCUUAGAUACCCUGGUAGUCCACGCUGUAAACGGUGGGUACUAGGUGUGGGGUCCAUUCCACGGGUUCCGUGCCGUAGCUAACGCUUUAAGUACCCCGCCUGGGGAGUACGGCCGCAAGGCUAAAACUCAAA